Molecule: long non-coding RNA, 146 nt
Organism: Phyllostomus discolor (pale spear-nosed bat)
Lineage: Eukaryota; Metazoa; Chordata; Mammalia; Chiroptera; Phyllostomidae
Exons: 3
Source: RefSeq, a predicted model, not a curated record
AAGACAGUGCGGUCAGGGGGCCCCCCAAAGACAGAUUUAUAAUGGGGUCCAGAACUAGGGUGUCCAGGAUAUAUAAAAAAUAUAAGCUAUCCUCACCCCCACAAGUCUGAAUUGGGGGAUGGGAUACAUGGGGCAGGGCCAUUGAG